RNAcentral lists this RNase P RNA (336 nucleotides) under chicken gut metagenome. RNAcentral's name for it is "Bacterial RNase P class B". It matches the Rfam family "Bacterial RNase P class B". From Rfam's summary of the family: Ribonuclease P (RNase P) is a ubiquitous endoribonuclease, found in archaea, bacteria and eukarya as well as chloroplasts and mitochondria. Its best characterised activity is the generation of mature 5'-ends of tRNAs by cleaving the 5'-leader elements of precursor-tRNAs. The record is from RNAcentral.
UUUUGACAAACGCUGCAUUCUUAGUAAUGUAGAGGAAAGUCCAUACUUGCACAGUCUGCGAUGACUGUAGUGUUUGUGCUUAGGGAAAAAAUAACCUAAGGUAGACUUUGUCUAACGACGUUUGAUGGCCUAAGGCUUGUCUAUGGUCUAGAACAUAAAGUGCCGCAGUGACGAUGCUUUUAGAAAUGAAAGAGUGAAACGUGGUAAACUCCGCAAGCAAGAAACCCAAAUUAUGGUAGGGGAACCUAAUAGAAAAGAAAUGAAUUUUCUAUGGGACUGGGUUACCAGUAGAUAGAUGUUUGUCGCCUAGUAAUAGGAACAGAAUAUGGCUUAUAA